CCAUGCCAUCCGCCCCUCCCACGCCUGAUCGAUCGGACCCGAAAACUCGUUUCAUUUUGGCUCUGAGUGGUCCUGGCAUCCUGCACGCCGUCUCUCUCGUCGGCUCGCCUCGCACCUGCGCUCCCAUCCACUUCCCUCCGCAUGCUCCAUCGCCUCGCCUUCUCCCCCUCUCCCUCGGGAGCCGCUGCUGCUCCGACGAUGUCACCCUCAUGCAUCGCUCGGAUCUCUCCGAUAAGCUUCUCCACCUUUCUCAUGCCUUGCUCUGUUCCUCCCUCGCGCGCUCAUAACGGAGGUUGCGGCAAUGGUGAAGACGACGUGGGAGACCGGGGAGGACACUGUCGUGGCAGGGGUGGGGGCUGAGGCGGCGGGAAGCACCUCCAAUCUCUUUGCCCCGCACGGACCUGAGCUGCCAUCGUCGCCUUGCCGUCGGGAUCGCUCAGGAGAACAACCAUGGUGCUUAUGUCUAUCGUUGGAAAUGAAGGGACAUGUCAUUUUUCUGUCCAACAAGAAUAACACUUGUCUUCUGCUAAUAUUGCCGCUAGACAAACGAACUCUGUGCUUUUGUGUGCAAGCAAUACUCGCUAAUAGUCUGUUCGGAUGUCUAAUGAACCAUGUGUGUAUGCUGCUUUUGGAUCAGUUAUAUUUUGAACUGCCAACGAUAAUGUUUUGGCAGGCAUGAAUCACAGACGCUUAAUGUAACGUGUGGCUAAACAGAAUCAUUAAUGGCUGCAUUGUGGUCCAACUAAUAUUGUUGCUACUUUAUUGUAUAUGUAUAUAUCUAUGUUGUGGCUUAAUAUGUCUGUAAUUAUACUCGAAAAUACCAUUAUCUGUUCAGUGUGAGUUAUAUAUAUAACUUUUGCUACUUUGCCAUAUAAUUAGACAUUGUACAUGGUAUCGAUAGGACAUUAUUUUCGAUCAGUUCCCUGUUGUAUCAGGCCUGAUUAUUAUACUAUGUUGCACCUCUAUGUAUGGUAGCUUGUGCACAAACAAGAAACAGUUGUAACUCUAAUGUAAAUUAUGACAUGUCUCUGAUUGUUGCUCUGGCUAUCUCA
Zea mays is the source of this 1052-nucleotide long non-coding RNA. RefSeq lists it as uncharacterized. NCBI's taxonomy places the organism in Eukaryota, Viridiplantae, Streptophyta, Magnoliopsida, Poales, Poaceae. The record is from RefSeq and is a predicted model, not a curated record. The transcript has 2 exons.